ACCAAGAAGAAGAAAUCGUCACUGAUUGGAUCAUCUAUGUUGAUGCUGGGGUCUGAAGAUGCUCCAACAAGAACACUGCAGCAGCAGAGGAAAAACAAACAAACAAACAAAUACAGAGCGAGUGUGAGCGGUCCUGCUUCGUACUCCUGUCCUCCCAUGACCGACGGAACUCUCUCUUCAUCCUCCACGAGCACGGCCAGCUCACUAUCUCUGUCGCCCAGCAUGCUACGAUCAUUGAUGUUGGCUGAUCCUGGAGCACCGCAGGAAAGUGCAUCAAGGACAUUUUAAAAGUCAUUACAUUUUUUUUUUUACUUUUUGUUCAUCUGGAAUUUGUUAGGAGGGUGUUUUUUUUUAAAGUUACACACUCUUCUGACGAAAAAAGUGACUUUUGAUAAUGUUUAACAAACCCAGUAAAGACAAAAUCAUGUUA
This is a non-coding RNA of Nothobranchius furzeri (turquoise killifish), 430 nucleotides long. The record is from RefSeq and is a predicted model, not a curated record. NCBI's taxonomy places the organism in Eukaryota, Metazoa, Chordata, Actinopteri, Cyprinodontiformes, Nothobranchiidae.